GAUGAACGCUGGCGGCGUGCCUAAUACAUGCAAGUCGAGCGAACGGACGAGAAGCUUGCUUCUCUGAUGUUAGCGGCGGACGGGUGAGUAACACGUGGAUAACCUACCUAUAAGACUGGGAUAACUUCGGGAAACCGGAGCUAAUACCGGCUAAUAUUUUGAACCGCAUGGUUCAAAAGUGAAAGACGGUCUUGCUGUCACUUAUAGAUGGAUCCGCGCUGCAUUAGCUAGUUGGUAAGGUAACGGCUUACCAAGGCAACGAUGCAUAGCCGACCUGAGAGGGUGAUCGGCCACACUGGAACUGAGACACGGUCCAGACUCCUACGGGAGGCAGCAGUAGGGAAUCUUCGGCAAUGGGCGAAAGCCUGACGGAGCAACGCCGCGUGAGUGAUGAAGGUCUUCGGAUCGUAAAACUCUGUUAUUAGGGAAGAACAGAUGUGUAAGUAACUGUAUACAUCUUGACGGUACCUAAUCAGAAAGCCACGGCUAACUACGUG
Molecule: ribosomal RNA, 497 nt
Filed under: uncultured bacterium
Lineage: Bacteria
Description: partial 16S ribosomal RNA
Rfam family: Bacterial small subunit ribosomal RNA
Source: RNAcentral